Molecule: ribosomal RNA, 750 nt
Filed under: uncultured soil bacterium
Lineage: Bacteria
Description: bacterial SSU rRNA
Rfam family: Bacterial small subunit ribosomal RNA
Source: RNAcentral
AGAGUUUGAUCCUGGCUCAGAAUCAACGCUGGCGGCGUGCCUAACACAUGCAAGUCGAACGCGAAAGUGGAGCAAUCCAUGAGUAGAGUGGCAAACGGGUGAGUAACACGUGGGUGACCUGCCUUCGAGUGGGGGAUAACGUCCCGAAAGGGACGCUAAUACCGCAUAACAUGCUGUCCUUUAAGAGAUGGACAUCAAAGCCGGGGACCGCAAGGCCUGGCGCUUGAAGAGGGGCCCGCGCCUGAUUAGCUAGUUGGUGGGGUAAUGGCUCACCAAGGCAACGAUCAGUAUCCGGCCUGAGAGGGCGGACGGACACACUGGGACUGAGACACGGCCCAGACUCCUACGGGAGGCAGCAGUGGGGAAUUGUUCGCAAUGGGCGCAAGCCUGACGACGCAACGCCGCGUGGAGGAUGAAGAUCUUCGGGUCGUAAACUCCUUUCGAUCGAGACGAACGGCCUCCGGGCUAACAUCCUGGAGGAGUGACGGUACCGAGAGAAGAAGCCCCGGCUAACUCCGUGCCAGCAGCCGCGGUAAUACGGGGGGGGCAAGCGUUGUUCGGAAUUACUGGGCGUAAAGGGCUCGUAGGCGGCCAACUAAGUCAUACGUGAAAUCCCUCGGCUUAACCGGGGAACUGCGUCUGAUACUGGAUGGCUUGAGUUCGGGAGAGGGAUGCGGAAUUCCAGGUGUAGCGGUGAAAUGCGUAGAUAUCUGGAGGAACACCGGUGGCGAAGGCGGCAUCCUGGACCGA